AAGUAAAAAGCAAAAAAUUGCAUCUAGUUUCGGCCUAGAAAUUUAGUCAUAAGACUUUUACUUG
RNAcentral lists this transfer RNA (64 nucleotides) under Polygraphus poligraphus. Its description in RNAcentral is "tRNA-Arg". Lineage: Eukaryota; Metazoa; Arthropoda; Insecta; Coleoptera; Curculionidae. The record is from RNAcentral.